GACGAACGCUGGCGGCGUGCUUAACACAUGCAAGUCGAACGGAAAGGCCCUGCUUUUGUUGGGUGCUCGAGUGGGGAACGGGUGAGUAACACGUGAGUAACCUGCCCUUGACUUUGGGAUAACUUCAGGAAACUGGGGCUAAUACCGGAUAGGAGCUCCUGCUGCAUGGUGGGGGUUGGAAAGUUUCGGCGGUUGGGGAUGGACUCGCGGCUUAUCAGCUUGUUGGUGGGGUAGUGGCUUACCAAGGCUUUGACGGGUAGCCGGCCUGAGAGGGUGACCGGCGACAUUGGGACUGAGAUACGGCCCAGACUCCUACGGGAGGCAGCAGUGGGGAAUAUUGCACAAUGGGCGGAAGCCUGAUGCAGCAACGCCGCGUGCGGGAUGACGGCCUUCGGGUUGUAAACCGCUUUCGCCUGUGCCGAAGAGUGAGUGACGGUAAUGGGUAAAGAAGCACCGGCUAACUACGUG
Molecule: ribosomal RNA, 468 nt
Filed under: uncultured bacterium
Lineage: Bacteria
Description: partial 16S ribosomal RNA
Rfam family: Bacterial small subunit ribosomal RNA
Source: RNAcentral